GAGGGUAUAGUUCUCUGGUAGAGUACGUGCUUAGCAUGCAUGGAGUCUUGGGUUCAAUCCCCAGGACCUCCA
This 72-nucleotide transfer RNA is filed under the name Camelus bactrianus (Bactrian camel). It matches the Rfam family "tRNA". Rfam says of the family: Transfer RNA (tRNA) molecules are approximately 80 nucleotides in length. Their secondary structure includes four short double-helical elements and three loops (D, anti-codon, and T loops). The record is from Rfam by way of RNAcentral. Lineage: Eukaryota; Metazoa; Chordata; Mammalia; Artiodactyla; Camelidae. RNAcentral also lists the same sequence under 2 other names.